UGAGUGGCGAACGGGUGAGUAACACGUGGGAAAUCUGCUUAGGAGUGGGGGAUAACAUUCGGAAACGGAUGCUAAUACCGCAUAUCUUUUUGAACCGCAUGGUUCUUAAACGAAAGACGGCUUCGGCUGUCGCUCUUAGAUGAUCCCGCGGCGUAUUAGUUAGUUGGUGGGGUAAAGGCCUACCAAGACCAUGAUACGUAGCCGACCUGAGAGGGUGAUCGGCCACACUGGGACUGAGACACGGCCCAGACUCCUACGGGAGGCAGCAGUAGGGAAUCUUCCACAAUGGGUGAAAACCUGAUGGAGCAAUGCCGCGUGAAUGAAGAAGGUCUUCGGAUCGUAAAGUUCUGUUAUUAGAGAAGAACAAGUCAAGGAGUAACUGUCUUGACUUUGACGGUACCUAACCAGAAAGUCACGGCUAACUACGUGCCAGCAGCCGCGGUAAUACGUAGGUGACAAGCGUUGUCCGGAAUUAUUGGGCGUAAAGGGAGCGCAGGCGGUUGGAAUAGUCUGAUGUGAAAGCCCACGGCUUAACCGUGGAAGGUCAUUGGAAACUGUCCAACUUGAAUACAGAAGAGGUAAGUGGAAUUCCAAGUGUAGCGGUGAAAUGCGUAGAUAUUUGGAGGAACACCAGUGGCGAAGGCGACUUACUGGUCUGUAAUUGACGCUGAGGCUCGAAAGCGUGGGUAGCAAACAGGAUUAGAUACCCUGGUAGUCCACGCCGUAAACGAUGAGUGCUAAGUGUUAGGGGGUUUCCGCCCCUUAGUGCUGGAGUUAACGCAU
Molecule: ribosomal RNA, 783 nt
Filed under: uncultured bacterium
Lineage: Bacteria
Description: bacterial SSU rRNA
Rfam family: Bacterial small subunit ribosomal RNA
Source: RNAcentral